CUUUUGGCAUGUCUGCCUCUCUGAAAGCCUCUCUUCUCUUCUCCACAGCUCCAGCGUUGCAACUUCAGUGCCAACAACCAUAUUGCAUGCCCCUUGCAAACUUUAUCUCUCUCUCAUUUGUAUAUGUGGUUAAUGCAUUACUAGUUUGUGGGUUUAUCCAUAUCUGCAUAAACAUGCUUUUCUAAUCCAUUAUCUGUGUAUGGCUUUGCCUCUAUCAUAUCAUAUGACUUUUUAAUCCAUUUUCUGUCUAUAAGUUUGCCUCUAUCAUAUGCAUUAUUUCUCAUUAAUGCAUUAUCUUUCUGCGAGUUUUAAAUAUUAUAAUACAUAUCAACACCUUUUUCCUAUGAUAUACAAUAAAAACGCCGAUUACCGAAGGGCGUUUACCGACGGUCUUUAAGCCUUCGGUAACGAAUUAUUAAGUUCGAAAUUGGGAUAUUCCUCGAAUUCUCCAAAAUCAAUUUCAGUACUCCUUCUCCUCCCUUCCCUGUUCUCACGACGGAAACCUUGUGUGGGCGCGAGGAUGGUGCUCCCUAGGCGGUUUGAAGAGCGUGGUGGUCCGGACGGUGGCAGCGGUUUGUUGGUGGGUGGGUGUCUUCCCUUCCCUCUUCAAAGAUUCGUGCAUAUUGGCUUCUGUCAGCGCGAGGUUGGUCGCCCUAAGCCGGUUUCAAGAGGUUGUUGUUGGGAACGGUGACGGUGGCUCCUUGGUGGCUGGUUUGCGGGUUGGGUGGCUAGGGUUCUUCUUCUUCCUUCUGUGUGUUGCGGCAGGGGUGGUGGUUCGUGGAGCUUGGCGUUAGGAGGUCUUUGCCGUGAAGUUAGGUUGGUUGCUGCGCAUUGCUCCGUUGACAAAUUUUUUGGUCAGAAAUUUGUUAUCAAACGUGCAACCCACUUCUGCUGAUUGUGAUUGUGUAGCUGGUUCUUCACUAAAUUUGAACAUGGCCCAUUUUCUCAACCACUGUGGGUGGAUGUAUGACCGUUGUUAUAGCGGAAGGAGAGGUUUGAAGGAAGCUUUUGUCAUCAGAGUUGAAGAGUUUGUGGAGACGACUUGACGAUAUCAAUAUUAUGCUCAUGAUGGAGGGAUUCGAUGCCCGUGCAUCAAGUGCGAAUGUACAAGGAUUUUGAAAGAUGAAGUUGUCAAAGUUCACCUAUACCAAAAAAGAUUCAUGCCUAAUUACACAGUUUGGACAUUUCAUGGUAAAGAAAUUCCUUCCACCUCCACUGUAGUUGAAAAACGGCUUGCAUCAGGUUCGAAUACUAUUUUACAUACAUUUGAGAUAGAUCAAUUUGCCUACAGGCAAAAGAUGGUUGACAAUGCUCUUCGUCGACAUGCUGAAUAAGAAGCAAAUGAUAAUGAUGAUGAAUAGUCUCAAUAUGAAACACUCAGAGGUUUUACAAUUUACUGACAGAGGCAAAUCUACCUGUAUUUGAAGGUUCAUCUGAGUCAAAAUUGUCAGUGUGCAUUAGACUCAUGGCUAGAAAAUCUAAUUGGAACGUUCCCAAUCAAGCAUUGGACUUUUUUACAAAAUUGAUGUUAGAUUUGACACCACCAAACAAUUUUAUGCCGAAGAAUUAUUAUCAAGCCAAAAGAUGUGUUUCAAAGUUGGGAUUGGAAGCCAAGAAGAUUGAUUGUUGUGUUAAUGGAUGUAUGUUAUUCUAUAACAAUGACAAUGGCAAAAAAUGAUGCAUUGUUGGUUGAAUGUAAGUUUUGUCGUUCACCUCGAUAUCAUACGAUGCAUCUAGGACGGAGGCAAUAAAACCAAUUCCCUUAAAGUCUAUGUUCUACUUGCCUCUAAUUCCAAGAUUACAAAGAAUGUUUACUUCAUUCCAAAUAUCACAACACAUGACAUGGCAUGAUGGUAACAAAACUGAAGAAGUUUUGCGUCAUCCUUGUGAUGGUGAAGCUUGGAAGCACUUCAAUCGUAAACAUCCAUCCUUUGCUAGUGAACCGCGUAACGUGAGACUUGGUCUAUGCUUUGAUGGGUUUACGUCGUACAUUCAUGCUUCUGCAUCACCAUAUUCAUGCUGGCCGGUGAUAAUUACCCAUACAAUCUACCACCUAAGAUGUGUUUGACAAAGCCUUACAUGUUUUUAACGUGUAUCAUACUAGGUCCAUCUAAUCCCAAAUCAACGAUUGAUGUAUUUUUGGAGCCUUUGAUUGAUGAUUUGAAGAAGCUAUGAAAUAGUGUUUGGACGUAUGAUGUUUCAAAGAAGAAAAAUUUCCUUAUGAGAGUAACUUUGAUGUGGACUAUUAACGACUUUCCAGUGUAUGACAUGUUACCUAGUUGGAGCACGCAUGGUCGAUUAGCUUGUCCACAUUGCAUGUAGCAUAUAAAGUCAUUUCAAUUGAGUUAUUGUUAGAAAAGUAGUUAGUUUGACUGCCAUCGACGGUUCUCGUCCAUUGAUUACCCCAUAAGAAACAAAAGGGAAUUUUGCAAAGGGCAAGUUGAAAUGUAUAUGCCCCCGUCGAAAUUGACUAGAUUACACAUUUGGAGAAGAGUGAAAGACUUGCCAAAAGUCACUGAAUGUGUUCAGAAUGGGAUAGAAGGGUUUGGGGAGUGACAUAAUUAGACUAAAAGAAACAUAUUUUGGGAUCUUCCCUAUUGGAAAGACAACUUGCUAACACAUAACCUCGAUGUCAUGCACAUAGAAAAAAAUUUCUUUGACAACGUCUUCAACACAUUUAUGAAUGUUAUUGGGAAGACAAAAGAUAAUGACAAAGCAAGAAAAGAUUUACCUUUGUAUUGUGGGUGAAAAGACUUAGAGUUGAAGGCGCAAGCUAACGGGCGAUUCUUCAAACAAAAAACAAAUUACACCAUGUCAAAAGAUGAGGCAAGGGUAGUUUGUGGAUGGAUCAAAAGCUUAGAAUGCCAGAUGGAUAUUCUUCUAACUUGUCCAGAUGUGUUAAUGUUCAGAACGAUACUAUUCAAGGGUUGAAGAGUCAUGAUUGUCAUGUAUUCAUGGAGACUUUCAUCUCUCUUGCGUUCAGUUGUUUGCCAAUGCACGUGUUAAAUCCACUGAUAGAAAUCAGUAACUUCUUUAAAGAUUUGUGCUGCACGACACUAAAGAAAAAUUCCCUAAGAAAAAUGGAAGAAAAUAUUCCAAUUAUUCUCUGCAAAUUAGAAAGAAUAUUCUUUCUUGCAUUCUUUGAUUAAAUGGAGCAUCUUUCAAUUCAUCUUGCAUAUGAAGCUCGGCUUGGGGGAUCGUGCAAUACAGGUGAUGUAUCUUUUUGAAAGGUUUAUGGGAGAAUCCAAACUUUCAUUUAAAAAUAAAGCUAGAGUAGAAGGAUCAAUUUGUGCAGCUUACUUGCACAAAGUGACAACAUACUUUUGUUCACAUUAUUUCAAAAACUUCAUGUUGUCCCUCACUAAUGUCAGAAAUGAAAUGCAAUGGCAAGCUGAACCAUGUCAAGGUGCAUUAUCAGUUUUUUGACAAUUAGACCAUUGUGCAGGGAAGAAAUUCAAUCAUUGGUUAACUGAUGCUGAAUUUAACUCUACUCAUGUCCACGUCUUAAUCAAUUGCAGUGAAGUUAAGUCGUACCUUGAGUAUGUCAUCAUCCAACUCUUACCUUUGUAAUGGUUAAGUUGUUAUGCAUUAAUUCAUUUCAUCGUACCAAUUCAUUUCUUGUGGCUGAGCAAGUUGCAGAAGGAAAUGCUUAUGCUCGAAUACACUUAGAGUUUCCUCAAUGGUUCAAAAAUCAGGUCCGUACUUUUUCCUAUGUUUUGAGAAAGGUUAAUUUGACUCUUGCUGUAAAAUUUUUUUGGUAUCUUUGUAGGUUUUUAACCAGGCAUUAACUUCCACAGUUCAAGAGUUAAGACAUCUCUCCAAUUGGCCAAUGAGAUGUGUGAAAGAAUGACACACUUACUUCACCAAUGGUUAAAAAUUCCAUACACAUGAUUGGUUUAAAGGAAAGAAAACAACAAAUUGUGGUGUGUACAGAGAAUGGUUACAGAUGAUCAAGAUGUGAUGAACCUUCUCCUGUCAUUACUACAUUGAAAUGAUUACGAAACAGAACUUAAAACAAUAGAAAGGCAACAUCUUCCUCAACCUCAUUUGAGUUAAUGCGACCUCUAGGCUUGGUUUGUAUUGCAACAACCUAACCACGUUUGUUAAUAUUAUGGAAUGAUGGAUAUGACACAUAAUAAUUUGUCUGACAUUAGUUGGUAGAAUGAAAGGAUCAAAUGGUCGAUAUCUUAAUCUCAUUUGCAGUUCGACAAUGUUAAACCUAGGAUUCACUCUCGUACCAACUCUAGAAAGAUCAAACCAUUCAUAAUAAAAAAAUACUACUAUGUUUGGAGAAGUAUUGCUGUUGUACUCUAGCUCAUAUAUUUUAUGAAUGAUGUCAUAGAAAUCAUCAUAACCACCUUCUGUAAGGCCCUUGAUGUACACACCACAAUUUGUUGUUUUCUUUCCUUUAGACUAAUCAUGUGUAUGAAAUUUGUAACCAUUGGUGAAGCGAGUGUGCCAUUCUUUCACAUAUCUCAUUGGUCAAUUGGAGAAAUGUCUUAACUCUUGAACCGUAGGAGUCAAUGCCUAGUUAAAAACCUACAAAGAUACCAAAAAAUUUUAUAGCAAGAGUUAAAUUAACCUUGCUCAAAACAUAGGAAAAAAUAUGGACCUAAUUUCUGAUCCAUUGAGGAAACACUGAGUGUAUUCGAGCAAAGCAUUUCCUUUUGUGGCUUGCUCAACCACAAGAAAUGAGCUGGUAUGAAUGAAAUGAAUUAGUGUAUAACAAUUUAACCAUUGCAAAAAAUAAGAGUUGGAUGAUGACAUACUAAGGUACGACUUAACUUCACUGCAAUUGAUUAACAAAUGGAUAUGAGGAGAGUUGAAUUCAUCAUCAGUUAACCAAUGAGUGAAUUCCUUCCUUACACGAUGGUCUGAUUAUCGAAAAACUGAUAGUGCACCUUGACAUGGUUCAGCUUGCCAUUGUAUUUCAUUUCUGACAUUAGUGGGGGACAACAUGAAGUUUUUGAAAUAAUGUGAACAAAUCGAUCCUUCUACUCUAGCUUUAUUUUUAACUAAAAGUUUGGAUUCUCCAAAAACCUUUCAAAGGGAUACGUUCACCUAUAUUGCACCGAUCCCCAAAGCCAAGCUUUAUAUGCAAGAUGAAUUGGAAGAUGCUCCAUUUAAUCAAAGAAUGCAGGAGAAAAUAUUCUUUCUAAUUUGUAGAGAAUAAUUGGAAUAUUUUCUUCCAUCUUUCUUAGGGAAUUUUUCUUUAGUGUCGUGCAACACAAAUCUUUAAAGAAGUUACUGAUUUCUAUCAAUGAAUUUAACAAAUGCAUUGGCAAACAACUGAACACAAGAGGGAUGAAAGUCUCCAUGAAUACAUGACAAUCAUUACUCUUCAACCCUUGAAUAAUAUUAUUAUGAACACUGGCACAUCUGAACAAGUUAGAAAAAUAUUCAUCUGGCAUUCUAAGCUCUUUGAUCCAUCCACAAACUAUUCUUGCCUCGUCUUUUGACAUGGUGUAAGUUGCUUUUUGUUUGGACAAUCGCCCGUUAGCUUGCGCCUUCAACUCUAAGUCUUUUCGCCCACAAUACAAAAGUAAAUCUUUUCUUGCUUUGCCAUUAUCUUUUGUCUUCCCAAUAACAUUAAUAAAUGUGUUGAAGACACAAUCAAAGAAAUUUUUUUCUAUGUGCAUGACAUCAAGAUUAUGUCUUAGCAAGUUGUCUUUCCAAUAGGGAAAAUCCCAAAAUAUAUUUCUUUUAGUCCAAUUAUGUCACUCCCCAAACCCUUUUAUCCUAUUCUGACCACAUUCAGUGACUUUUGGCAAGUCUUUCACUCUUUUCGAAACGUGUGAUCUAGUCAACUUCAACGGGGACAUAUCCGUUUCAACUUGCCUUUUGAGAAAUGUCUUUUUUUUUUUUUUUUUUCUGGGGUGAUCAAUGGGCAAGAGCUGUCGAUGGUAGUCAAACCAACUACUUUUCCGACCAUAACUCAAUUGGAAUGACUUUGUAUGCUCCAUGCAAUGUGGACAAGCUAAUCGACCAUGCAUGCUCCAACCAGAUAACAUGUCAUACGCUGGAAAGUCGUUAAUGGUCCACAUCAAAGCUGCCCUCAUAAGGAAAUUUUGCUUCCUUGAAACAUCAUACGUCCAAACACCAUUCUAUAGCUUCUUCAAAUCAUCAAUUAAAGACUCCAAAUAUACAUCAAUCGCUGAUUUGGGAUUAGUUGGACCUAGUAUUAGACACGUUAAAAACAUGUAAGACUUUGUCAUACACAUCUUAGGUGGUAGAUUGUGUGGGUGUAACUAUCACCGGCCAGCAUGAAUAUGGUGAUGCAGAAGCAUGAAUGUACGACGUAAACCCAUCAGAGCAUAGAUCAAGUCUCACGUUACGCGGUUCACUAGCAAAGGAUGGAUGUUUACGAUUGAAGUGCUUCCAAGCUUCACCAUCAGAAGGAUGACGCGAAACUUCUUUAGUUUUGUUACCAUCAUGCCAUGUCAUGUGUUGUGAUGUUUGUAAUGAAGUAAACAUUCUUUGUAAUCUUGGAAUCAAAAGCAAGUAGAACAUGGACUUUAAGGGAAUUGGUUUUUUUGCCUCCGUCCUAGAUGCAUCGUAUGAUAUCGAGGUGAGUCACAAAGCUUGCAUUUAACCAACAAUGCAUCAUUUUUGCCACUGUCAUUGUCAUAGAAUAACAUACAUCUAUUAACACAACAAUCAGUCUUUUUGGCAUCCAAUCCCAGCUUUGAAACACAACUUUUUGCUUGAUAAUAAUUCUUUGGCAUAUAAUUGUUUGGUGGUGUCAAAUCUAACAUUAGUUUUGUAAAGAAGUCCAAUGCUUGAUUGAGAAUGUUCAAAUUAGGUUUACCAGCCAUGAGUCUAAUGCACACUGACAAUUUUGACUCAGAUGAACCUUCAAAUACAGGUAGACUUGCCUCUGUCAGUAAAUUGAAAAACUUCUGAGUGGUUUCAUUUGGAGACUCUUCAUCAUGACUAUCGUUUGCUUCUUGUUCAGCAUGUAGACGAAGAUCAUUGUCGUCCAUCUCUUGCAUAUAGGCAAAUUGAUCUAUCUCAGAUGUAUGUACAAUAAUAUUCAAACCUGAUGCAAGUUACUUUUCAGCUGUAGUGAAGGUAGAGGGAAUUUCUUCACCAUGAAACGCAUUUUGGUAUAAGUGAACUUUGACGACUUCAUCUUUCUAAAUACUCAAACUUUGAGUUUGGGGUAAUUCUUUGAUUUUUACAA
Molecule: long non-coding RNA, 7183 nt
Organism: Vigna radiata var. radiata (mung bean)
Lineage: Eukaryota; Viridiplantae; Streptophyta; Magnoliopsida; Fabales; Fabaceae
Exons: 3
Source: RefSeq, a predicted model, not a curated record